AUUGAACGCUGGCGGCAGGCCUAACACAUGCAAGUCGAGCGGAUGAAGGGAGCUUGCUUCUGGAUUCAGCGGCGGACGGGUGAGUAAUGCCUAGGAAUCUGCCUGGCAGUGGGGGAUAACGUCCGGAAACGGGCGCUAAUACCGCAUACGCCCUGAGGGAGAAAGUGGGGGAUCUUCGGACCUCACGCUAUCAGAUGAGCCUAGGUCGGAUUAGCUAGUUGGUGGGGUAAAUGCCUACCAAGGCGACGAUCCGUAACUGGUCUGAGGAUGAUCAGUCACACUGGAACUGAGACACGGGCCAGACUCCUACGGGAGGCAGCAGUGGGGAAUAUUGGACAAUGGGCGAAAGCCUGAUCCAGCCAUGCCGCGUGUGUGAAGAAGGUCUUCGGAUUGUAAAGCACUUUAAGUUGGGAGGAAGGGCAGUAAGUUAAUACCUUGCUGUUUUGACGUUACCAACAGAAUAAGCACCGGCUAACUUCGUG
Molecule: ribosomal RNA, 482 nt
Filed under: uncultured bacterium
Lineage: Bacteria
Description: partial 16S ribosomal RNA
Rfam family: Bacterial small subunit ribosomal RNA
Source: RNAcentral